GAUGAACGCUAGCGGCAGGCCUAACACAUGCAAGUCGAGGGGGAAGUUACUUUUGGGUGACUGAGACCGGCGUACGGGCGCGUAACGCGUAUACAAUUUGCCUUUCACUGGCGGAUAGAUCGCAGCAAUUUGGUUUAAUACAUCCUAGUUUAUAGGGCCGGCUUCGUUUUUAUGUUAAAGAUUAGGCGGUGAAAGAUGAGUAAGCUUGCUAUUAGCUAGUUGGUGAGGUAACGGCUCCCCACGGCGAUGUUAGAUAGGGGUUCUGAGAGGGAUGUCCCCCACACGGGGACUGAGAUACGGACCAGACUCCUACGGGAGGCAGCAGUGAGGGAUAUUGGACAAUGGUCGGAAGACUGAUCCAGCCAAGCCUCGUGCAGGAUGAAGGUCUGAUGGAUUGUAAACUGCUUUUGUAAGGGAGGAAUAAGGGCUACGCGUAGUUUGAUGACGGUACCGUACGAAUAAGCAACGGCUAACUCCGUG
This 480-nucleotide ribosomal RNA is filed under the name uncultured bacterium. RNAcentral's name for it is "partial 16S ribosomal RNA". It matches the Rfam family "Bacterial small subunit ribosomal RNA", at positions 28 to 507 of the family's 1533-position model. The record is from RNAcentral.